GGUCAAUGAGUGGUCAUUGAAGAUAAGAAAGGAAAUGAGAGUUGUUGACAGGCAAAUAAGGGAUAUCCAAAGAGAAGAAGAAAAAGUGAAACGAUCAGUGAAAGAUGCUGCCAAGAAGGGCCAGAAGGAUGUCUGUGUAGUUCUGGCCAAGGAGAUGAUCAGGUCAAGGAAGGCUGUGAGCAAGCUGUAUGCAUCCAAAGCGCACAUGAACUCAGUGCUCAUGGGGAUGAAGAACCAGCUCGAUACAGGGUUUCACCAUGUUGCCCAGGAUGGUCUUGAACUCCUGAGCUCAAGUGAUCCACCCGCCUCAGUCUUCCAAACUGUUGGGAUUAUAGGUGUGAGCCGCUGCACCUGGCCCAGAACUAAUAAAAUUUAACGUUUUGUUGUAUUUGCCUCCUUCUAUAUUAUUAAAAAAAAAAAAAGCGUUAUUACAAAA
RNAcentral lists this small RNA (436 nucleotides) under Pongo abelii (Sumatran orangutan). Its description in RNAcentral is "processed transcript". Lineage: Eukaryota; Metazoa; Chordata; Mammalia; Primates; Hominidae. The record is from RNAcentral.